CUGUUCGGAUGUCAAUCUAAGUGGA
RNAcentral lists this non-coding RNA (25 nucleotides) under Cricetulus griseus (Chinese hamster). The record is from RNAcentral. Lineage: Eukaryota; Metazoa; Chordata; Mammalia; Rodentia; Cricetidae.